GAUGAACGCUGACAGAAUGCUUAACACAUGCAAGUCUUUGGCGAAGCUGUGCUUGCACAGCCUAGCCAAGGCGGACGGGUGAGUAACGCGUAAGGAACUUGCCCUGCAGUCAGGGAUAACAGACGGAAACGACUGAUAAGACCUGGUAAAGUCAGGCGGACUCAUGUCCAGCCUGAUGAAAAGGGAUGCUGCAGGAGAGCCUUGCGUCCUAUUAGCUUGUUGGUGGGGUAACGGCCCACCAAGGCGAUGAUAGGUAGCCGGCCUGAGAGGGUGGACGGCCACAAGGGGACUGAGAUACGGCCCUUACUCCUACGGGAGGCAGCAGUGGGGAAUAUUGGACAAUGGGGGCAACCCUGAUCCAGCAAUUCGGUGUGCACGAUGAAGGUUUUCGGAUUGUAAAGUGCUUUCAGCAGGGAAGAAAAAAAUGACGGUACCUGCAGAAGAAGCGACGGCUAAAUACGUG
This 463-nucleotide ribosomal RNA is filed under the name uncultured bacterium. RNAcentral's name for it is "partial 16S ribosomal RNA". It matches the Rfam family "Bacterial small subunit ribosomal RNA", at positions 28 to 507 of the family's 1533-position model. The record is from RNAcentral.